UACAGAGGUGGCAAGCGUUGUUCGGAAUUACUGGGCGUAAAGGGCGCGUAGGCGGCCUUCUAAGUCAGACGUGAAAUCCCCCGGCUUAACCUGGGAACUGCAUCUGAUACUGGAUGGCUUGAGUUCGGGAGAGGGAUGCGGAAUUCCAGGUGUAGCGGUGAAAUGCGUAGAUAUCUGGAGGAACACCGGUGGCGAAGGCGGCAUCCUGGACCGACACUGACGCUGAGGAGCGAAAGCCAGGGGAGCAAACGGG
This 253-nucleotide ribosomal RNA is filed under the name uncultured bacterium. RNAcentral describes it as "partial 16S ribosomal RNA". It matches the Rfam family "Bacterial small subunit ribosomal RNA", at positions 524 to 776 of the family's 1533-position model. The record is from RNAcentral.